This is a ribosomal RNA of Jeotgalibaca dankookensis, 116 nucleotides long. Lineage: Bacteria; Bacillati; Bacillota; Bacilli; Lactobacillales; Carnobacteriaceae. The record is from Rfam.
UGCGGUGGCAAGGGCAAGAAGGUCACACCUGUUCCCAUCCCGAACACAGAAGUUAAGCUUCUUAGCGCCGAUUGUAGUGAAGGGUUUCCCUUUGUGAGAGUAGGACGCUGCCGCGC